UGGAAGACUUGUGAUUAGAUUGUUACGCAUAUUCCCUUUUGUGAUCAUGUAAAUGAGAAGCAAAUGAACCUCUUAACAACUAUCACGGUCUUCCAAG
Molecule: microRNA precursor, 97 nt
Filed under: Echinococcus granulosus
Lineage: Eukaryota; Metazoa; Platyhelminthes; Cestoda; Cyclophyllidea; Taeniidae
Description: microRNA egr-mir-7b precursor
Gene: egr-mir-7b
Source: miRBase by way of RNAcentral